This 92-nucleotide non-coding RNA is filed under the name Sporosarcina sp. RNAcentral describes it as "Glycine sequence". It matches the Rfam family "Glycine riboswitch aptamer". Rfam says of the family: This family represents the bacterial glycine riboswitch. Glycine riboswitches usually consist of two metabolite-binding aptamers domains with similar structures in tandem. The aptamers cooperatively bind glycine to regulate the expression of downstream genes. RNAcentral also lists the same sequence under 1 other name. Lineage: Bacteria; Bacillati; Bacillota; Bacilli; Caryophanales; Caryophanaceae. The record is from RNAcentral.
AUGAAUGUAUGGGGAGAGCACGCGUUAGGCGUCGCCGAAGGAGCAAACAGGAAAACUGUGAAUCUCUCAGGUAACAAGACUCAUACAGGACG